Nicotiana attenuata is the source of this 315-nucleotide long non-coding RNA. RefSeq lists it as uncharacterized. The transcript is spliced from 3 exons. Lineage: Eukaryota; Viridiplantae; Streptophyta; Magnoliopsida; Solanales; Solanaceae. The record is from RefSeq and is a predicted model, not a curated record.
AAUCUUGUCACCGACUUUACUUCUGGUGCAGAUUGAGUAGUAGUAUAAUCAACGGCUUCCCAUCUCCGGCGAGUCACCGGCCUCGAGUACAAAGAUCAAGGGCACUCGGUAUAAUUAGUUUACAAGACUAAUUCUUUGGCAGGAUAAUAGUUGCUUUUGAGAUAACAUUGACAAUCUUCCAAAUUUGCAUAAAAAGGCACACAAACGUUCAUUCUUCAGAUUGUUGAUUUUGAAGUCCAAAAAAAACGUAUGAUUUCCCAACAUGCUCAUUUCAAACUCACUUUGCAUAAGAUUUGCGAAUUCCUUGCACAAAAG